AUUGAACGCUGGCGGCAGGCCUAACACAUGCAAGUAGACCGAGUGGCGGACGGGUGAGUAAUGUAUGGGAAACUGCCCGAUGGAGGGGGAUAACUACUGGAAACGGUAGCUAAUACCGCAUACCAUCGGAUGUGCACAGAUGGGAUUAGCUUGUAGGUGAGGUAACGCCACACCUAGUCGACGAUCCCUAGCUGGUCUGAGAGGAUGACCAGCCACGCUGGGACUGAGACACGGUUCUGACUCCGGCGGUAUGCAGCAGUGGUGAAUAUGGCACAAUGCGCGCGAGCCUGAUGUAGCCAUGCAGCGUGUAUGAAGAAGGCCUUCAGGUUGUAAAGUACGGUCAGCGGUAAGGCGUUUCCCACACAAGAAGCUCCGGCUAACUCCGUGCCAGCAGGCGCGGUAAUUC
This 406-nucleotide ribosomal RNA is filed under the name uncultured bacterium. RNAcentral's name for it is "partial 16S ribosomal RNA". It matches the Rfam family "Bacterial small subunit ribosomal RNA", at positions 30 to 526 of the family's 1533-position model. The record is from RNAcentral.